RNAcentral lists this ribosomal RNA (406 nucleotides) under uncultured bacterium. Its description in RNAcentral is "partial 16S ribosomal RNA". It matches the Rfam family "Bacterial small subunit ribosomal RNA", at positions 30 to 526 of the family's 1533-position model. The record is from RNAcentral.
AUUGAACGCUGGCGGCAGGCCUAACACAUGUAAGUCGGGCGACCGGCGGACGGGUGAGUAAUGUAUGGGGAUCUGCCUCAUGGCGGGGGAUAACUACUGGAAACGGUAGCUAAUACCGCAUACCAUCAGAUGAACCCUUAUGGGAUUAGCUAGUAGGUGAGGUAACGGCUUACCUAGGCGACGAUCCCUAGCUGGUCUGAGAGGAUGAUCAGCCACACUGGGACUGAGACACGGCCCAGACUCCUACGGGAGGCAGCAGUGGGGAAUAUUGCACAAUGGGCGCAAGCCGGAUGCGGCCAGGCCGCGUGUAUGAAGAAGGCCUUCGGGUUGUAAAGUACGUUCAGUCGGGAGGCGUUACCGACAGAAGAAGCAACGGCUAACUCCGUGCCAGCAGCCGCGGUAAUAC